GGCGGACGGGUGAGUAACACGUGGGUAACCUACCUAUAAGACUGGAAUAACUCCGGGAAACCGGGGCUAAUGCCGGAUAACAUGUUGAACCGCAUGGUUCUACAGUGAAAGACGGUCUUGCUGUCACUUAUAGAUGGACCCGCGCCGUAUUAGCUAGUUGGUGGGGUAACGGCCUACCAAGGCGACGAUACGUAGCCGACCUGAGAGGGUGAUCGGCCACACUGGAACUGAGACACGGUCCAGACUCCUACGGGAGGCAGCAGUAGGGAAUCUUCCGCAAUGGGCGAAAGCCUGACGGAGCAACGCCGCGUGAGUGAUGAAGGUCUUCGGAUCGUAAAGCUCUGUUGUUAGGGAAGAACAAAUGUGUAAGUAACUGUGCACAUCUUGACGGUACCUAACCAGAAAGCCACGGCUAACUACGUGCCAGCAGCCGCGGUAAUACGUAGGUGGCAAGCGUUAUCCGGAAUUAUUGGGCGUAAAGCGCGCGUAGGCGGUUUUUUAAGUCUGAUGUGAAAGCCCACGGCUCAACCGUGGAGGGUCAUUGGAAACUGGAAAACUUGAGUGCAGAAGAGGAAAGUGGAAUUCCAUGUGUAGCGGUGAAAUGCGCAGAGAUAUGGAGGAACACCAGUGGCGAAGGCGGCUUUCUGGUCUGCAACUGACGCUGAUGUGCGAAAGCGUGGGGAUCAAACAGAGAUUAGAUACCCUGGUAGUCCACGCCGUAAACGAUGAGUGCUAAGUGUUAGGGGGGUUUCCGCCCCUUAGUGCUGCAGCUAACACAUUAAGCACUCCCGCCUGGGGAGUACGGUCGCAAGACUGAAACUCAAAGGAAUUGACGGGGACCCGCACAAGCGGUGGAGCAUGUGGUUUAAUUCGAAGCAACGCGAAGAGCACUACCAAAUCUUGACAUCCCCUGACCGCUCUAGAGAUAGAGU
RNAcentral lists this ribosomal RNA (932 nucleotides) under Staphylococcus sp. C10I2. RNAcentral describes it as "bacterial SSU rRNA". It matches the Rfam family "Bacterial small subunit ribosomal RNA", at positions 97 to 1012 of the family's 1533-position model. The record is from RNAcentral. Lineage: Bacteria; Bacillati; Bacillota; Bacilli; Caryophanales; Staphylococcaceae.